This 280-nucleotide ribosomal RNA is filed under the name Bacillus cereus. RNAcentral's name for it is "partial 16S ribosomal RNA". It matches the Rfam family "Bacterial small subunit ribosomal RNA", at positions 1 to 268 of the family's 1533-position model. Lineage: Bacteria; Bacillati; Bacillota; Bacilli; Caryophanales; Bacillaceae. RNAcentral also lists the same sequence under 1 other name. The record is from RNAcentral.
UUUAUUGGAGAGUUUGAUCCUGGCUCAGGAUGAACGCUGGCGGCGUGCCUAAUACAUGCAAGUCGAGCGAAUGGAUUGAGAGCUUGCUCUCAAGAAGUUAGCGGCGGACGGGUGAGUAACACGUGGGUAACCUGCCCAUAAGACUGGGAUAACUCCGGGAAACCGGGGCUAAUACCGGAUAACAUUUUGAACUGCAUGGUUCGAAAUUGAAAGGCGGCUUCGGCUGUCACUUAUGGAUGGACCCGCGUCGCAUUAGCUAGUUGGUGAGGUAACGGCUCAC